AUCCUGCACCCCAACCCACCAUGUCCUCACCCAUCGAACCCAAAUCCCGCAAGUUCCCACCGCCCUCAACGCCAAAUUGGACCCAGGCACCAAUUCCCGAUCCAGUUGGAGUUUUUGCUCCAGACCUUGGACCAGCGGACUUUCCACCGCCAUGAAAACACGAAAGUUGCAGGUGCGGCUUGACUGGGUUUUGUUUUGGCGUCGUGACAGGGAUCUCCGGUAGCCGAUCUUUGAUACGAGGUGCAUGCAGCGGCCUUGAAUCUUCGGCAGCCAUGACCUCGAAGGGGUGGUAGUCGGCGUUUGUUACAGUUGGGGUAAUAGUCGGCGCCGCAUCCUCUCUCCCUCCGCCAGUGCCCUCCCCAACUCCGUCGCUGCAAUCUGCUGCCGAUUCGCCUUCUCACGUAUCUCCAUCGGCGAUUCCCCCCACCCCAUGUCUCCCAAAACAAACCCCAGCCGCAGCCUCCAUCCAUGUCUCCACAAUUUCUGAGCACGGAUCUGAAACUUUUGGUGGAUAUGGCUGACUUGAAUGCUCUGAUUUGUGAUUGUCUAUAAUUAUUAGUGAUUUUUUUUGUUUUUUUUUGUGUGUGUUAGGAAAUCCUUGAUCAGUUGGCCAUGCUGCAGAAAACAAAGAAGGAACCCUUUGUUGGGCUUGAAGACGGUGGAGAUCAAGGACCUGUAUUGUCUGCCCUCCCAUUUCGGUGCCCUCCUCGUGCCCUCCU
Molecule: long non-coding RNA, 719 nt
Filed under: Malus domestica (apple)
Lineage: Eukaryota; Viridiplantae; Streptophyta; Magnoliopsida; Rosales; Rosaceae
Description: long non-coding RNA (MDOM_LNC016200)
Source: RNAcentral